This 495-nucleotide ribosomal RNA is filed under the name uncultured bacterium. RNAcentral's name for it is "bacterial SSU rRNA". It matches the Rfam family "Bacterial small subunit ribosomal RNA", at positions 28 to 511 of the family's 1533-position model. The record is from RNAcentral.
GAUGAACGCUGGCGGCGUGCUUAACACAUGCAAGUCGAACGGAGAUGCUAUGUGAGCGGAAGAUGCUUGCAUCCAACAAUCUUAUAGCAUCUUAGUGGCGGACGGGUGAGUAACGCGUGGGUAACCUGCCUUAUACCGGGGGAUAACACUUAGAAAUAGGUGCUAAUACCGCAUAAGCGCACGAUGCCGCAUGGCAAAGUGUGAAAAACUCCGGUGGUAUAAGAUGGACCCGCGUCUGAUUAGCUUGUUGGCGGGGUAACGGCCCACCAAGGCGACGAUCAGUAGCCGGCCUGAGAGGGUGAACGGCCACAUUGGGGACUGAGACACGGCCCAAACUCCUACGGGGAGGCAGCAGUGGGGAAUAUUGCACAAUGGGGGGAAACCCUGAUGCAGCGACGCCGCGUGAGUGAAGAAGUAUUUCGGUAUGUAAAGCUCUAUCAGCAGGGAAGAAGAAAUGACGGUACCUGACUAAGAGCCCCGGCUAAUACGUGCCAG